UCUCGGAUGCUUUCCAGCCGCCCAUCCACCGGCCUCUCCUCCUUCAGUCAGCCUGCAAAACUAGAGGCCCGCUUGCAAAAAAAAAAAAAAAAAUACAGCGUGGAAAAGCCUCCACCGAGUUCAUACAAAGCCCAAGCUCUCCGAAUGGAUCCUUUGGUUUGUUUUUACUUUAACUGAUUUCAGUCUUUGGUCCUGCGCAAACCGGUCUGCUGCUGAGAGAUUUAAAGGAAAAGUUCUGCGCCUUUAAGAACUCAGUUUAGCUGCUCAGUCGUUUCCGACUCUUUGCAACUCCAUGGACUGCAGCACGCCAGGCCUCCCUGUCCUUCACCAUCUCCCGGAGCUUGCUCGGACUCCUGUCCAUUGAACCUUAAGGACUCCAGGUUUCCAUGGCCUAUAGCAGAAGACGUUAGGACAGAAUCCAAACCCUCAGUAACACGACAUGAAGAAUACAGAUUUGAGAAACAGAUGGUCUUACUUCCCAAUAAGGGGGGGGGAAUGAUUUUACGCAGGUUGGAGUGGAACCAGUGAAGACGUGCCACUCAAUUCCAGCACUACGUGCCAGUCACAUACUUUACAGUGAAGCACUCGAACCCUCCCUCCAGAAACCCUACCAUGGAAUCUACUGUUAACUGCACUUGCUCGCUUUGAAAACAGUUACAUGGGCUUUCUGGGGGCUCAGUGGUAAAGAAUCCGCCUGCCAGUGCAGGCGACACGGGUUCAAUCCCUGGGCCAGGAAGAUCCCACACGCCAUGGAACAGCUAAGCCAGUGUGCUACAGCUACUGAACCUGACUGAGCUCUGGAGCCAGCAAGCCACAACCACUGAGCCUGCAGGCCCCAGAGCCUGUGUGCCGCAAGCAAAGCCACUGAGAUGAGAAGCCUGAGCACUGCAACUGGAGAGUAACCGCCCUGCUCGCUGCAACUAGAGA
Long non-coding RNA from Cervus elaphus (red deer), 927 nucleotides. RefSeq lists it as uncharacterized. The transcript has 3 exons. The record is from RefSeq and is a predicted model, not a curated record. NCBI's taxonomy places the organism in Eukaryota, Metazoa, Chordata, Mammalia, Artiodactyla, Cervidae.